Molecule: unclassified non-coding RNA, 557 nt
Filed under: Hevea brasiliensis (rubber tree)
Lineage: Eukaryota; Viridiplantae; Streptophyta; Magnoliopsida; Malpighiales; Euphorbiaceae
Source: RNAcentral
GGCAACAAGAGAAUUUGCAUACAGUGAUAUUGCGGCAGCUAUAAUCAAACCAACUAUACCAACAACCCAACCCAGAGGAACCAUAAUAGUCGCAGAAUAUCCCAGUACGUAGGCACUGUUGACACCGGUUGUGAGCACAAAACCCACUUGAAACCAUGAAUCACUGCUAAUCUGAUGAGCAGUCUCAGGAAUCUCAACACUCAACUGUUCCUCAUCAUGAACCUUUCUGGGCCAAGAAUCCUCUCUAUCCCCAUCCAUUAUUCUCCGCUGUUGGUGGUGGUAAUAGUUCUCCCUCCCUUCUCCUACUAAGAGCGAUACGCUCUCUUCCUCAAGAAUGACCUGCCUCACAGCCAGCUUAUUCCCCUCCUUAUAUAGCUCUCAGAAUCUACCACCCAACAGGGAAAAGAAUUAAACGCACAGCCAAUAAUCAAAGACUGUUAAAUGAAAUUGUAUAAUAUAAAGUAUUUAUGUAUAGAUUUUUUCGGGUGUCAGAGUGGUCAGUUUGUAAUGAUAUUCAGUCUCCCAUAGUUGGAAAACAUGUUGGAAUUUUGUGAUUU